ACUACAAACCGUGCUAUCGUUUUCCAGGAUCAAACCUGGAGGAAGGAAAGUCCGGACAGCAAAGAGCAACACACCACCUAACGGGUGGGACCUGGUGCAAACCAGGUACAGACAGUGCCACAGAAAAUAACCGCCGGGAGCUUGCUCCCGGUAAGGGUGAAAAUGCAGGGUAAGAGCCUGCGUCCUGUGGUGGUAACAUCAUGAGAGGGUAAACCUUGUGUGCUGAAAUGCCAUGUAUACGGUCGCUUGAGGGCUGCUCGUCCAAGACCGAGGGUAGGCAGAUACAGGUAACGUGCGAACGUUAUCGCAGAUAAAUGAUAGCAUCGCCCGCUUCGGCAGGCGAACAGAAUCCGGCUUAUAGGUUUGUAGUUUAU
RNAcentral lists this RNase P RNA (374 nucleotides) under Chitinophaga sp. MD30. Its description in RNAcentral is "Bacterial RNase P class A". It matches the Rfam family "Bacterial RNase P class A". Rfam says of the family: Ribonuclease P (RNase P) is a ubiquitous endoribonuclease, found in archaea, bacteria and eukarya as well as chloroplasts and mitochondria. Its best characterised activity is the generation of mature 5'-ends of tRNAs by cleaving the 5'-leader elements of precursor-tRNAs. Cellular RNase Ps are ribonucleoproteins. RNAcentral also lists the same sequence under 1 other name. The record is from Rfam by way of RNAcentral. Lineage: Bacteria; Pseudomonadati; Bacteroidota; Chitinophagia; Chitinophagales; Chitinophagaceae.